This 253-nucleotide ribosomal RNA is filed under the name uncultured bacterium. RNAcentral's name for it is "partial 16S ribosomal RNA". It matches the Rfam family "Bacterial small subunit ribosomal RNA", at positions 524 to 776 of the family's 1533-position model. The record is from RNAcentral.
UACAGAGGUCUCAAGCGUUGUUCGGAUUCAUUGGGCGUAAAGGGUGCGUAGGCGGUCGGGUAAGUCUGGCGUGAAAUCUCCAAGCCUAACUUGGAAACUGCGUUGGAUACUAUCCGGCUCGAGGAAUGGAGGGGAGACUGGAAUACUUGGUGUAGCAGUGAAAUGCGUAGAUAUCAAGUGGAACACCAGUGGCGAAGGCGAGUCUCUGGACAUUUCCUGACGCUGAGGCACGAAAGCCAGGGGAGCAAACGGG